Molecule: ribosomal RNA, 443 nt
Filed under: uncultured bacterium
Lineage: Bacteria
Description: partial 16S ribosomal RNA
Rfam family: Bacterial small subunit ribosomal RNA
Source: RNAcentral
CCUACGGGUGACUGCAGUGGGGAAUAUUGGGCAAUGGGCGCAAGCCUGACCCAGCAACGCCGCGUGAAGGAAGAAGGCUUUCGGGUUGUAAACUUCUUUUCUCAGGGACGAAGCAUGUGACGGUACCUGAGGAAUAAGCCACGGCUAACUACGGGCCAGCAGCCGCGGUAAUACGGAGGUGGCAAGCGUUAUGCGGAUUUACUGGGUGUAAAGGGCGUGUAGGCGGGAAAGCAAGUCAGAUGUGAAAACCAUGGGCUCAACCUGGGGCCUGCAUUUGAAACUGUUUUUCUUGAGUACUGGGGAGGCAGGCGGAAUUCCUAGUGUAGCGGUGAAAUGCGUAGAUAUUAGGAAGAACACCAGUGGCGAAGGCAGUCUACUAGACAGCAACUGACGCUGAGGCGCGAAAGCGUGGGGAGCAAACAGGAUUAGAUACCCGGGUAGUC